This 253-nucleotide ribosomal RNA is filed under the name uncultured bacterium. Its description in RNAcentral is "partial 16S ribosomal RNA". It matches the Rfam family "Bacterial small subunit ribosomal RNA", at positions 524 to 776 of the family's 1533-position model. The record is from RNAcentral.
UACGUAGGGGGCAAGCGUUGUCCGGAAUUAUUGGGCGUAAAGAGCGUGUAGGCGGUCCGGUAAGUCCGCUGUGAAAGUCCAGGGCUCAACCCUGGAAUGCCGGUGGAUACUGCCGGGCUAGAGUCCGGAAGAGGCGAGUGGAAUUCCUGGUGUAGCGGUGAAAUGCGCAGAUAUCAGGAGGGACACCGAUGGCGAAGGCAGCUCGCUGGGACGGUACUGACGCUGAGACGCGAAAGCGUGGGGAGCAAACAGG